Molecule: ribosomal RNA, 1020 nt
Filed under: Staphylococcus aureus
Lineage: Bacteria; Bacillati; Bacillota; Bacilli; Caryophanales; Staphylococcaceae
Description: partial 23S ribosomal RNA
Rfam family: Bacterial large subunit ribosomal RNA
Source: RNAcentral
AAGAAAAUUCGAUUCCCUUAGUAGCGGCGAGCGAAACGGGAAGAGCCCAAACCAACAAGCUUGCUUGUUGGGGUUGUAGGACACUCUAUACGGAGUUACAAAGGACGACAUUAGACGAAUCAUCUGGAAAGAUGAAUCAAAGAAGGUAAUAAUCCUGUAGUCGAAAAUGUUGUCUCUCUUGAGUGGAUCCUGAGUACGACGGAGCACGUGAAAUUCCGUCGGAAUCUGGGAGGACCAUCUCCUAAGGCUAAAUACUCUCUAGUGACCGAUAGUGAACCAGUACCGUGAGGGAAAGGUGAAAAGCACCCCGGAAGGGGAGUGAAAUAGAACCUGAAACCGUGUGCUUACAAGUAGUCAGAGCCCGUUAAUGGGUGAUGGCGUGCCUUUUGUAGAAUGAACCGGCGAGUUACGAUUUGAUGCAAGGUUAAGCAGUAAAUGUGGAGCCGUAGCGAAAGCGAGUCUGAAUAGGGCGUUUAGUAUUUGGUCGUAGACCCGAAACCAGGUGAUCUACCCUUGGUCAGGUUGAAGUUCAGGUAACACUGAAUGGAGGACCGAACCGACUUACGUUGAAAAGUGAGCGGAUGAACUGAGGGUAGCGGAGAAAUUCCAAUCGAACCUGGAGAUAGCUGGUUCUCUCCGAAAUAGCUUUAGGGCUAGCCUCAAGUGAUGAUUAUUGGAGGUAGAGCACUGUUUGGACGAGGGGCCCCUCUCGGGUUACCGAAUUCAGACAAACUCCGAAUGCCAAUUAAUUUAACUUGGGAGUCAGAACAUGGGUGAUAAGGUCCGUGUUCGAAAGGGAAACAGCCCAGACCACCAGCUAAGGUCCCAAAAUAUAUGUUAAGUGGAAAAGGAUGUGGCGUUGCCCAGACAACUAGGAUGUUGGCUUAGAAGCAGCCAUCAUUUAAAGAGUGCGUAAUAGCUCACUAGUCGAGUGACACUGCGCCGAAAAUGUACCGGGGCUAAACAUAUUACCGAAGCUGUGGAUUGUCCUUUGGACAAUGGUAGGAGAGCGUUCUAAGG